This 28-nucleotide small RNA is filed under the name Bombyx mori (domestic silkworm). Its description in RNAcentral is "piRNA piR-bmo-1749611". Lineage: Eukaryota; Metazoa; Arthropoda; Insecta; Lepidoptera; Bombycidae. The record is from RNAcentral.
UACUGAUCAAAGUGCGAAGGUGUUCUAC